CGACCGGCGCACGGGUGAGUAACACGUAUCCAACCUGCCGUCUACUCUUGGCCAGCCUUCUGAAAGGAAGAUUAAUCCAGGAUGGGGUCAUGAGUUCACAUGUCCGCAUGAUUAAAGGUAUUUUCCGGUAGACGAUGGGGAUGCGUUCCAUUAGAUAGUAGGCGGGGUAACGGCCCACCUAGUCAACGAUGGAUAGGGGUUCUGAGAGGAAGGUCCCCCACAUUGGAACUGAGACACGGUCCAA
Molecule: ribosomal RNA, 244 nt
Filed under: uncultured bacterium
Lineage: Bacteria
Description: partial 16S ribosomal RNA
Rfam family: Bacterial small subunit ribosomal RNA
Source: RNAcentral